ACUCCUACGGGAGGCAGCAGUGGGGAAUAUUGGACAAUGGGCGCAAGCCUGAUCCAGCAACGCCGCGUGGAGGACGAAGGCCUUCGGGUCGUAAACUCCUGUCAGUUGGGACGAAAAGUCGCCGGUCAAUAGCCGGCGAUCAUGACGGUACCAGCAGAGGAAGCCCCGGCUAACUCCGUGCCAGCAGCCGCGGUAAU
Molecule: ribosomal RNA, 197 nt
Filed under: uncultured Acidobacterium sp.
Lineage: Bacteria; Pseudomonadati; Acidobacteriota; Terriglobia; Terriglobales; Acidobacteriaceae
Description: partial 16S ribosomal RNA
Rfam family: Bacterial small subunit ribosomal RNA
Source: RNAcentral